GGAAGCUCUGUACCAUACCCAGCAUCUAGCUUUUAUCCCAUGGGGCAGGUUACCCCUGUUAAUGGUGGGAUAACAGCUGGAGUUAAUAAACCUCAAGCGGGAGCUCCAGUUUCAUCAGGGAAUUCAUCACAAUCUGGAAAGGAAUAUGAUUUCUCAUCUUUAACACAAGGCAUGUUCUCAAAGCACUGAAUUUCCCGGGGGACAAUGAUGGCCUUUUGAUACCAAUACCAAGAUAGUUGUAUUACAGGAAAAUAGAUCCUGAAAAGUUUUGUCCUCCUGUAUUGGCGAUUGUAAACUAUUUUGUAGAGGCA
This 311-nucleotide unclassified non-coding RNA is filed under the name Hevea brasiliensis (rubber tree). The record is from RNAcentral. Lineage: Eukaryota; Viridiplantae; Streptophyta; Magnoliopsida; Malpighiales; Euphorbiaceae.